UGGGGAAUCUUGCGCAAUGGUCGAGAGACUGACGCAGCGACGCCGCGUGUGGGAGGACGCCUUUCGGGGUGUAAACCACUGUUGCCCGGGACGAACACCUUCAUUCGUGAAGGCUGACGGUACCGGGUGAGGAAGCACCGGCUAACUCCGUGCCAGCAGCCGCGGUAAUACGGAGGGUGCGAGCGUUGUCCGGAAUCAUUGGGCGUAAAGGGCGCGUAGGUGGCCCGGUCAGUCCGUGGUGAAAGCGCGGGGCUCAACCCCGCGUCGGCCAGGGAUACUGCCGCGGCUGGAGCACUGUAGAGGCAGGCGGAAUUCCGGGUGUAGCGGUGGAAUGCGUAGAGAUCCGGAAGAACACCGGUGGCGAAGGCGGCCUGCUGGGCAGUGGCUGACACUGAGGCGCGACAGCGUGGGGAGCAAACAGGAUUAGAUACCCUGGUAGUCCACGCCGUAAACGAUGGGCACUAGGCGCUUGGGGGAGCGACCCCCCGAGGGCCGGCGCUAACGCAUUAAGUGCCCCGCCUGGGGAGUACGGCCGCAAGGCUGA
This 544-nucleotide ribosomal RNA is filed under the name uncultured Gemmatimonas sp. RNAcentral describes it as "bacterial SSU rRNA". It matches the Rfam family "Bacterial small subunit ribosomal RNA", at positions 355 to 897 of the family's 1533-position model. The record is from RNAcentral. Lineage: Bacteria; Pseudomonadati; Gemmatimonadota; Gemmatimonadia; Gemmatimonadales; Gemmatimonadaceae.